GGGCCGCUAGCUCAGCUGGUAGAGCAGGUGACUCUUAAUCACAAGGUCGGGGGUUCGACUCCCUCGCGGCCCACCA
RNAcentral lists this transfer RNA (76 nucleotides) under Candidatus Hydrogenedentota bacterium. Its description in RNAcentral is "tRNA-Lys". It matches the Rfam family "tRNA". Rfam says of the family: Transfer RNA (tRNA) molecules are approximately 80 nucleotides in length. Their secondary structure includes four short double-helical elements and three loops (D, anti-codon, and T loops). Further hydrogen bonds mediate the characteristic L-shaped molecular structure. tRNAs have two regions of fundamental functional importance: the anti-codon, which is responsible for specific mRNA codon recognition, and the 3' end, to which the tRNAs corresponding amino acid is attached (by aminoacyl-tRNA synthetases). tRNAs cope with the degeneracy of the genetic code in two manners: having more than one tRNA (with a specific anti-codon) for a particular amino acid; and 'wobble' base-pairing, i.e. permitting non-standard base-pairing at the 3rd anti-codon position. Lineage: Bacteria; Pseudomonadati; Candidatus Hydrogenedentota. The record is from RNAcentral.